GGUGGUUCUUGGGUGACACACCCCGGAACCAGAAAGGAGGGAGCCCGAUUCCAGGGUGCGUCACCCAAGAACCGCC
Non-coding RNA from Myotis brandtii (Brandt's bat), 76 nucleotides. Lineage: Eukaryota; Metazoa; Chordata; Mammalia; Chiroptera; Vespertilionidae. The record is from Rfam.